ACUUUUUUAUUAUAAAAAUUAUAUUUGAUUUCCAAUCAAAAGAUCUUAAGUAAACAAGAAAAAGUA
RNAcentral lists this transfer RNA (66 nucleotides) under Malcus setosus. Its description in RNAcentral is "tRNA-Gly". The record is from RNAcentral. Lineage: Eukaryota; Metazoa; Arthropoda; Insecta; Hemiptera; Malcidae.